AUUGAACGCUGGCGGCAUGCCUUACACAUGCAAGUCGAACGGCAGCACGGGUGCUUGCACCUGGUGGCGAGUGGCGAACGGGUGAGUAAUACAUCGGAACAUGUCCUGUAGUGGGGGAUAGCCCGGCGAAAGCCGGAUUAAUACCGCAUACGAUCUACGGAUGAAAGCGGGGGACCUUCGGGCCUCGCGCUAUAGGGUUGGCCGAUGGCUGAUUAGCUAGUUGGUGGGGUAAAGGCCUACCAAGGCGACGAUCAGUAGCUGGUCUGAGAGGACGACCAGCCACACUGAGACUGAGACACGGCCCAGACUCCUACGGGAGGCAGCAGUGGGGAAUUUUGGACAAUGGGCGAAAGCCUGAUCCAGCAAUGCCGCGUGUGUGAAGAAGGCCUUCGGGUUGUAAAGCACUUUUGUCCGGAAAGAAAUCCUUGGCCCUAAUACGGUCGGGGGAUGACGGUACCGGAAGAAUAAGCACCGGCUAACUACGUG
This 486-nucleotide ribosomal RNA is filed under the name uncultured bacterium. RNAcentral's name for it is "partial 16S ribosomal RNA". It matches the Rfam family "Bacterial small subunit ribosomal RNA", at positions 30 to 507 of the family's 1533-position model. The record is from RNAcentral.